GGGGAAUAUUGCACAAUGGGGGAAACCCUGAUGCAGCGACGCCGCGUGAGUGAAGAAGUACUUCGGUAUGUAAAGCUCUAUCAGCAGGGAAGAAAAUGACGGUACCUGACUAAGAAGCCCCGGCUAACUACGUGCCAGCAGCCGCGGUAAUACGUAGGGGGCAAGCGUUAUCCGGAUUUACUGGGUGUGAAGGGAGCGUAGGUGGUAUGGUAAGUCAGAUGUGAAAACCCGGGGCUCAACCCCGGGACUGCAUUUGAAACUAUCAGACUAGAGUGCAGGAGAGGUAAGUGGAAUUCCUAGUGUAGCGGUGAAAUGCGUAGAUAUUAGGAGGAACACCAGUGGCGAAGGCGGCUUACUGGACUGUAACUGACACUGAGGCUCGAAAGCGUGGGGAGCAAAC
RNAcentral lists this ribosomal RNA (400 nucleotides) under uncultured bacterium. RNAcentral describes it as "bacterial SSU rRNA". It matches the Rfam family "Bacterial small subunit ribosomal RNA", at positions 356 to 773 of the family's 1533-position model. The record is from RNAcentral.